CCGUCCAUGGGGGGUCAGAAAAAUAAACUUCAUUCAAAGGCAAAACAAGGUUCACUGGAUGUCCAUCAAUCAGACAUGUCUGUGUGUUUCUUCACAAUCUACUUAGAGGAGCCGGAUAGUUCAGGACACAGUUAUGGACCUGUCAGCAGAGGCGUGAGAACACACACACACACUCAGCAGUUUAUCAGAAAUCACAAGUGGGUGACACACACUCACUGGUGUGUGCUGAUGAUCUUUCUCUCACACGCUUCUUAUCACUUCCUAUCUCUGGUGACAUAUAAAUUCCAGAAGCAUCAGAUGAUGUUGAUCUAAUGUCACAAACAGCUUUAAAAUGCUGAUUUAUAUUGAAAAAAUACAUUCAACUUCAAAACAUCUGCUGACAUCUGUGUGUGUGUGCAGCUGAUCUUGGCUCUGCAGGGGGUGGACAGAGUCAUCAGUCAGCUGAUGAACAUCCUCAGACAACUCAACUUUCAUCGUCGCCGGUCAUGCUAAAACACACACUCCUCAGCUGUGAGGAAACACUGUGUGCAAGUGUGAUGUGUGUGUCUGGUGUGUGCAUGCAGGUAUGGAGGGGACCAGCUGCAGGCGUAAACAGGCUCUUCAGGAUUUUAUAGGUGAUGUCAGUCAUCUGUACAUCAAAGAAGGGCCGUAUGGACGAAUCAGAGCAAAACACACAACACACACCUGUAAGACAAACACACACACAGUUAAGAUGAGCCCUAGUGAGUGACGUGUCAGUAACCUGUGUGUGUGUGUGUGUGUGUGUGUGUUUGACAGUGGACGCAGUGACGUAAUGUUUUGACAGUGGACGCAGUGACAUAAUGAAAACACACUGCAUACUCUCCAAAUACUAUCAACAACAUUAUAGCAUUUCAGUAUAGCGUGUCAGUAAGAUUAGCAGUGCUUUGUGUGUGUUACAUGUGUGCCAUGUUUCGUGUGCAGUGCUUUGUGUGUUACAUGUGUUUUAUGUGUGUUGUGUUUUCUGUGUGUUUCAUGUGUGUUUUGUGUGUUAAGUGUGUGUUACAUGUCCAGUAUUACAUAUGCAUUAUGUGUGCAGUGUUCCGUGUGUUUUCGGUUUGUUUUGUGUUACAUGUGCAGUUACUUGUGCGUUAUGUGUGCAGUGUUUCAUGUGUGUUUCGUUUGUAGUGUUUUGUGUUUGUUACGUGAAUAUGAUAAUGACGUCUACAGCAUGCAGGUGAGUGUGUGUGUAUGUGUGUGUGUCUGUGUUUUUGAACAAAUUAAUAAAAGAGAGCUAAUGCAUCUGCGAACCUAGAAAACAUGAUAUGAGAUGAGAUUAUUUUUAGAGCACAACAGAAGCUAAUCUAAAGUGCUUUACAGUAGAAAAUACAGUAGCAUUCUAAAGAAAAUACAGAAAGAAAAACACAGCACAU
Cyprinus carpio carpio is the source of this 1391-nucleotide long non-coding RNA. The record is from Ensembl. NCBI's taxonomy places the organism in Eukaryota, Metazoa, Chordata, Actinopteri, Cypriniformes, Cyprinidae.